Molecule: ribosomal RNA, 253 nt
Filed under: uncultured bacterium
Lineage: Bacteria
Description: partial 16S ribosomal RNA
Rfam family: Bacterial small subunit ribosomal RNA
Source: RNAcentral
UACGUAGGUGGCAAGCGUUGUCCGGAAUUAUUGGGCGUAAAGCGCGCGCAGGCGGUCCUUUAAGUCUGAUGUGAAAGCCCACGGCUCAACCGUGGAGGGUCAUUGGAAACUGGGGGACUUGAGUACAGAAGAGAAGAGUGGAAUUCCACGUGUAGCGGUGAAAUGCGUAGAGAUGUGGAGGAACACCAGUGGCGAAGGCGACUCUUUGGUCUGUAACUGACGCUGAGGCGCGAAAGCGCGGGGAGCGAACGGG